Long non-coding RNA from Bos indicus x Bos taurus (hybrid cattle), 1355 nucleotides. The record is from Ensembl. NCBI's taxonomy places the organism in Eukaryota, Metazoa, Chordata, Mammalia, Artiodactyla, Bovidae.
CGAGAGCCUCAGGGCCUCAGGGUGACUCACCCUCUUGCCAUUUCCUUUGUGCGGCUCGCCGGCUCCUUGCUGGAAGCCGGCUCACGGCUGCGGGUGGGCAGGGAGGCGGGGAGAGGGCGCGGGAGGAGGGCGCUUUUCACACGACAGGGGCCACCCUCUAGCCGCCACCCCUACCCCCAUGCCGAGAGGGAUGACAAAAGGCAGAGCCCCCGCCUAGGGAGGCGGGGAGUCCUGAUCGGUGUUCCUUGGCCCCCUGAACCAAUACAGCUUUCAGAAUAAUGAAAACUGGCCAGGGAGGGGAAGGUAUGGGUGUCCUGGGGAGCCCCGUGGGCUGCCGGCCUCCUGGCGGCUCCUCGGUCCCAGCCCAGAGGCUCUGAGGGCAGCAUCAGGACCUGCCGGCGCUGGAAGCCGCCUCCCUGGCCCAGGCUCAGGGCUCGCGCUGGCGCGUGGCCAGAGGCAGCCGCCACCUACGUAAGAGUAAAGGAUGCCAAAGAGCAAGGCCCGGGAGCCUGGGACGUGUUCCUCCGAAGGCUAACUGCGUGACCUCCGGCAAGUGUUAGCGAUGGAAUUUCAGACAUCUCUCCCAGCAGGACACGUUAGCCCGAAAGAGCAAUGUACUUCAGAGGAAACAAACUUCUUACCACCAUUAUCCAUCUCAGAAGAGAGGAUGGCCCAAAGCCCUGGUGUGCAGACAGCAGCUGUACUGGGCGCCCCAGCCCUUGGUAAGCCUGCUCCAGACUCAAGAUCUGCAGGCAAGCCUCGUUCCAGAGCCAAGGACCUCCACUGAGCAGGAAGUUCCCUGACCUCUCAGAAUUUAUCCCUGGAGAAGAAAGGAAAGAUUCAUCCCAGAAGGAAGUCUGCAUGCAUCAGUCAGUGUGGUGCAUCCUCCAUAGGCGCCUGGAGAGAAACGGUGUUUUAAGAGCCCAGGUCUAGAGACGGGAGUUGGGAGGCAGUACUAGCCUGGCUUUGAUGUAACCAGAUCUCAGACCUUAGGCAAGUUCCUCCUCAUCUGUAUAACGUGGGGGCCAGCCUGGAUUAUCUUUAAUGCCUUUGCAAGACGGACACUCAGAAGUCAUAAGGACACAUACCAGACCAGUGGCCCUGCAUUCAAAAACCUUCACACAUUUUGUCUCCACAGUUAGAAGUCGUAUAGGGACUUCCCUGGUGGUCCAGUUGUUCAGACUCCAAGUUUCCACUGCAGGAGGCAUGGAUUGGAUUUGAUCUCUGGUUGGGGAACUAAGAUCCCACAUGUUGCUCAGCGGGGCCAAAUAAUUUUUUUUUUUUAAUGAAGUGGUGCCAGAAUUGUGCUGAUAUCAAAUAGUUUUGGUCAUCCAAAGUUUUCAUGAAGAGCCUCC